UGGGGAAUAUUGCACAAUGGGCGCAAGCCUGAUGCAGCCAUGCCGCGUGUAUGAAGAAGGCCUUCUGGUUGUAAAGUACUUUCAGCGAGGAGGAAGGCGUUGUGGUUAAUAACCGCAACGAUUGACGUUACUCGCAGAAGAAGCACCGGCUAACUCCGUGCCAGCAGCCGCGGUAAUACGGAGGGUGCAAGCGUUAAUCGGAAUUACUGGGCGUAAAGCGCACGCAGGCGGUCUGUCAAGUCGGAUGUGAAAUCCCCGGGCUCAACCUGGGAACUGCAUCCGAAACUGGCAGGCUAGAGUCUUGUAGAGGGGGGUAGAAUUCCAGGUGUAGCGGUGAAAUGCGUAGAGAUCUGGAGGAAUACCGGUGGCGAAGGCGGCCCCCUGGACAAAGACUGACGCUCAGGUGCGAAAGCGUGGGGAGCAAACA
This 427-nucleotide ribosomal RNA is filed under the name uncultured bacterium. RNAcentral describes it as "partial 16S ribosomal RNA". It matches the Rfam family "Bacterial small subunit ribosomal RNA", at positions 355 to 774 of the family's 1533-position model. The record is from RNAcentral.